AGAGUUUGAUCCUGGCUCAGAUUGAACGCUGGCGGAAUGCUUUACACAUGCAAGUCGAACGGCAGCACGGGUGCUUGCACCUGGUGGCGAGUGGCGAACGGGUGAGUAAUACAUCGGAACGUGCCCAGACGUGGGGGAUAGCUCGGCGAAAGCCGGAUUAAUACCGCAUACGAUCUACGGAUGAAAGCGGGGGACCGUAAGGCCUCGCGCGUCUGGAGCGGCUGAUGGCAGAUUAGGUAGUUGGUGGGGUAAGGGCUCACCAAGCCUGCGAUCUGUAGCUGGUCUGAGAGGAUGAUCAGCCACAUCGGGACUGAGACACGGCCCGAACUCCUACGGGAGGCAGCAGUGGGGAAUUUUGGACAAUGGGCGAAAGCCUGAUCCAGCCAUUCCGCGUGCAGGACAAAGGCCUUCGGGUUGUAAACUGCUUUUGUACGGAACGAAAAAGCCUUCUCUAAUACAGAGGGUCCAUGACGGUACCGUAAGAAUAAGCACCGGCUAACUACGUGCCAGCAGCCGCGGUAAUACGUAGGGUGCAAGCGUUAAUCGGAAUUACUGGGCGUAAAGCGUGCGCAGGCGGUCUUGUAAGACAGAGGUGAAAUCCCCGGGCUCAACCUGGGAACUGCCUUUGUGACUGCAAGGCUGGAGUACGGCAGAGGGGAUGGAAUUCCGCGUGUAGCAUGAAAUGCGUAGAUUGCGGAGGAACACCGAUGCGAAGCAGUCCCCUGGGCCUGUACUGACGCUCAUGCACGAAAGCGUGGGGAGCAAACAGGAUUAGAUACCCUGGUAGUCCACGCCGUAAACGAUGUCAACUAGUUGUUGGGGAUUAUUUCUUCAGUAACGAA
RNAcentral lists this ribosomal RNA (842 nucleotides) under uncultured bacterium. Its description in RNAcentral is "bacterial SSU rRNA". It matches the Rfam family "Bacterial small subunit ribosomal RNA", at positions 8 to 850 of the family's 1533-position model. The record is from RNAcentral.